Long non-coding RNA from Xyrauchen texanus (razorback sucker), 514 nucleotides. RefSeq lists it as uncharacterized. The transcript is spliced from 3 exons. The record is from RefSeq and is a predicted model, not a curated record. Lineage: Eukaryota; Metazoa; Chordata; Actinopteri; Cypriniformes; Catostomidae.
UUGUAUUAAAAAAAAAAUUCUACGGAUGGUUCGAUACAUUUUUGCGUGUUGUAAAUGGUCCUUGCGGUGAUAAAGAAGUCUGCUAAAGUUGGGACUGCAGAAGUGUCAAACCCUUAAUAAACUCAUGCUUUGAUAUCCCCCAACAGAUUGGUGGCUGUGAAGACUGUGAAGUCUUCAUGUUGAUGUUGAGACAUUGUUUUGAUAUAAUUAAACCAAUGAUUGGUGUGGUGGUGUUUUUAUUUUAAUUUUUUAAAGUUGUUAAAUAUGGAACAAGGAAGGAUUUUUUUAAUUUGACGUUUACAGAGAUAAUGUUCCUUAAUUUUUGCUGUUUUCCAGUAUGCUCUACAUCUUGUCUUGGGAGCACCCUUUGAUUUUACAUCUUGCGACUUUCCAAACAUACAGAGAUUGUGGGCUCUUAUUCUUCUGGAGAACUUUGGGGUUUUCUCUGCAAGUGCAGAAACCCUACAAGAGUCCCUUCCAUGUGAAGAACAAGCUACGCUUAGCAGCAGUGAGG